GACGAACGCUGGCGGCGUGCUUAACACAUGCAAGUCGAACGGUGAAGCCCUUCGGGGUGGUUCAGUGGCGAACGGGCGAGUAACACGUGAGCAACCUGCCCCUGGCUCUGGGACAACCACUGGAAACGGUGGCUAAUACCGGAUACGACCCGCCUCGGCAUCGAGGGUGGGUGGAAAGUUUUUCGGCGGGGGAUGGGCCCGCUGCCUAUCAGCUUGUUGGUGAGGUGAAGGCUCACCAAGGCGACGACGGGUAGCCGGCCUGAGAGGGCGACCGGCCACACUGGGACUGAGACACGGCCCAGACUCCUACGGGAGGCAGCAGUGGGGAAUAUUGCACAGUGGGCGAAAGCCUGAUGCAGCGACGCCGCGUGAGGGAUGACGGCCUUCGGGUGGUAAACAUCUUUCAGCUCCGAAGAAGCGAAAGUGACGGUAGGAGCAGAAGAAGCACCGGCUAACUACGUG
RNAcentral lists this ribosomal RNA (462 nucleotides) under uncultured bacterium. RNAcentral's name for it is "partial 16S ribosomal RNA". It matches the Rfam family "Bacterial small subunit ribosomal RNA", at positions 28 to 507 of the family's 1533-position model. The record is from RNAcentral.